GACGAACGCUGGCGGCGUGCCUAAUACAUGCAAGUUGAGCGCUGAAGGUUGGUACUUGUACCAACUGGAUGAGCAGCGAACGGGUGAGUAACGCGUGGGGAAUCUGCCUUUGAGCGGGGGACAACAUUUGGAAACGAAUGCUAAUACCGCAUAAAAACUUUAAAAACAAGUUUUAAGUUUGAAAGAUGCAAUUGCAUCACUCAAAGAUGAUCCCGCGUUGUAUUAGCUAGUUGGUGAGGUAAAGGCUCACCAAGGCGAUGAUACAUAGCCGACCUGAGAGGGUGGUCAGCCACAUUGGGACUGAGACACGGCCCAAACUCCUACGGGAGGCAGCAGUAGGGAAUCUUCGGCAAUGGACGAAAGUCUGACCGAGCAACGCCGCGUGAGUGAAGAAGGUUUUCGGAUCGUAAAACUCUGUUGGUAGAGAAGAACGUUGGUGAGAGUGGAAAGCUCAUCAAGUGACGGUAACUACCCAGAAAGGGACGGCUAACUACGUG
This 497-nucleotide ribosomal RNA is filed under the name uncultured bacterium. RNAcentral's name for it is "partial 16S ribosomal RNA". It matches the Rfam family "Bacterial small subunit ribosomal RNA", at positions 28 to 507 of the family's 1533-position model. The record is from RNAcentral.